This 19-nucleotide small RNA is filed under the name Bombyx mori (domestic silkworm). Its description in RNAcentral is "ovarian small RNA-22174". The record is from RNAcentral. Lineage: Eukaryota; Metazoa; Arthropoda; Insecta; Lepidoptera; Bombycidae.
UAGAUUGAUAUGGUAUACG